This 28-nucleotide small RNA is filed under the name Bombyx mori (domestic silkworm). Its description in RNAcentral is "ovarian small RNA-21503". The record is from RNAcentral. Lineage: Eukaryota; Metazoa; Arthropoda; Insecta; Lepidoptera; Bombycidae.
UACUGCUAGAGGGUCGGCCUUGACUCAC